This 301-nucleotide ribosomal RNA is filed under the name uncultured bacterium. RNAcentral describes it as "partial 16S ribosomal RNA". It matches the Rfam family "Bacterial small subunit ribosomal RNA", at positions 509 to 807 of the family's 1533-position model. The record is from RNAcentral.
CAGCAGCCACGGUAAUACAGAGGGUGCAAGCGUUAAUCGGAAUUACUGGGCGUAAAGCGCGCGUAGGUGGUUCGCCAAGUUGGAUGUGAAAUCCCCGGGCUCAACCUGGGAACUGCAUCCAAAACUGGCGAGCUAGAGUAUGGUAGAGGGUGGUGGAAUUUCCUGUGUAGCGGUGAAAUGCGUAGAUAUAGGAAGGAACAUCAGUGGCGAAGGCGACCACCUGGACUGAUACUGACACUGAGGUGCGAAAGCGUGGGGAGCAAACAGGAUUAGAUACCCCAGUAGUCCCUGUCUCUUAUAC